CACCUAAUCUGACAACAUCAUUUUGAAUAUUUUUCUUUCUCAAAGUUUAGGAAAGUUUUGCUUUCUCCGAGUUACUCAAUUUUAUUAGUUUACAGAAUUUGAUAAAAUAAAUAAAAUAAUUUAUAUAUAUUAAAGAUAUAUAGAAUUUGCAAAAUAUACAGGUUUUUCCUAUUAUUGACCUGGGCUUCUGUGAAUGGAUAAGUUCUAAGUUAUUUAUGUAUAACGAUUUUUUAAACCAAUUAAUUAGGGUGUUGCAUAUUUUUUAGAAUCUGCUGUGAAAUAAAUUUAAUAUAUAAUCACAAAUGUAGCUCUACGACAACAUGAAAUUCAACAAUAAAUUUUGGUCCAUGGUAAUUGAAAUACGUUAUGCUUGACUAAUGAAUAUAACUAUUAUAUAUAUUAAUAUUCCCUGCAAGAUGCCUGUUAAAAAGAAAAACUGAAGAAACUUUAAAACUAGAUGAUGGCAACUGAAGAAGCCUCUACUUCAAUCUGGCUAUUGUUAUAGCACGUAUAUCGAUUUAUAUACUGUAUUGAGUUAGCUUGUGAUUUUUACGUGUGUUUUUGUUUGUCUAGUGUUAGUUAGUUAUAUGCAAGAUAUGACAUGGUAUGGCACACUGCAUGGUGUACCCUAAAUAAUAUUAUUAAUAAAUAUUUUUAUCUAUAUUUUGUAAAUAUAUAUGCUAUAAAUUAUUAUAUUAUUAAAAGUGGAUGAAAGCACUAAAGAAGCGUAACGAUAAACUUUAUGGUGGCGAUAUGAGAGAACUAAUGUGGCAGUGAUUAUGGUGGCGGUAUGAGAGAACUAAUGUGGCAGUGAUUAUGGUGGCGAUAUGAGAGAACUAAUGUGGCAGUAUAUUACUAUCAUAGAACAGUUUUGCAUCAAAUCAUUGUAUAAUAUUAGUUUUUUGUUAAUUUAAAUAUUAUGAAAUUCAAA
This is a long non-coding RNA of Hydra vulgaris (swiftwater hydra), 931 nucleotides long. RefSeq lists it as uncharacterized. The record is from RefSeq and is a predicted model, not a curated record. NCBI's taxonomy places the organism in Eukaryota, Metazoa, Cnidaria, Hydrozoa, Anthoathecata, Hydridae.